This 253-nucleotide ribosomal RNA is filed under the name uncultured bacterium. RNAcentral's name for it is "partial 16S ribosomal RNA". It matches the Rfam family "Bacterial small subunit ribosomal RNA", at positions 524 to 776 of the family's 1533-position model. The record is from RNAcentral.
UACGGGGGGUGCGAGCGUUGUCCGGAAUCACUGGGCGUAAAGGGCGCGUAGGUGGCGUGAUAAGGGUGUGGUGAAAGCCCGGGGCUCAACCCCGGGUCUGCCAUGCCGACUGUCAGGCUGGAGUACUGUAGGGGCAGGCGGAAUUCCGGGUGUAGCGGUGGAAUGCGUAGAGAUCCGGAGGAAGACCGGUGGCGAAGGCGGCCUGCUGGGCAGUUACUGACACUGAGGCACGAAGGCCAGGGGAGCAAACGGG